CCUGGCACUCAGCAGACAUUCUGAUGCUGUUUACAGAAUGAUUCAGUGAGUGGGAGGGAAAGCCUGAGAAAGAAGAACAAGAAUUGCUUUCCUUUCUGAGCCAUGUGUGCCUUGGGAAUCCACUUUGGGGAAGAAAGAAGACCUGCGAAUUAAUCUUGGGAGGACUUUGAGUUACAAGAAACAGAAGUGGAUCCUAGAUGAUGCAGGCCUUUCCUCAAAUAUAGAAAAACUAUUUGGAAGACCAUGGGUCUGAAUGCAAAGUGCUAUCCUGAGUUGGAUCCUGGAACGAAAAAAGGACAUCAGUAGAAAAACAGCCCCUUUCACCCCUUCUCCCUCUGUGGCAGAGCAAGAGCCUUUUCCACUCUGCAGACCUGUAGCUACAACUGCCCCUGCCCUGGGAACCUGGCUCAGCCAUCACCGCAACGCACAGGGACGCCAGACCAUGACACCUGACCUCUUUCUCCAACUAAGCACCAGUCCUCUCUCUUCUUGGAUUUAAGCAAGAAACAGCAUAGAACUGUGGAAAGGGUGUGUAAUUCAGAGUUCGACCAAACUAGUUCUAAAAUGUGAACUCAAGCUGCUGAUAGAUGUAUUCAUUAAUUUGUGGUGAUCAGUAUACAACGUAGACAUAUGCCAAAUCAUCAUGCUGUACACCUUGAACAUAUAAAAUUUUAAUUUGCCAAUUAAGUAUUUUCAAUAAAAAUAAAAUAACCCCUUUUUAAAAAUGAAAA
Molecule: long non-coding RNA, 731 nt
Filed under: Piliocolobus tephrosceles (Ugandan red Colobus)
Lineage: Eukaryota; Metazoa; Chordata; Mammalia; Primates; Cercopithecidae
Description: lncRNA (ENSPTEG00000024577.1)
Source: RNAcentral